AAGAAAAAGAGGACACCCAAGGAACAGCCUGUCGAUUCUGUAACUCACUUUACAAAUUCUCACAGCGGAUUCCGCACUCAAAUCACUCGUGAAGGUGUCAGGUUACAAUUUGGUAUUCUGAUAAACAAUAACCGCGACAAAAGCGCCGCUCAAGUGAGAUUGUUUACAUUUGGAACUGUAAUUUAAGACUCAAAUCACUUAUGCUCAAAUAGUCUUGUUAAUUGUUAUUUCGCAUUCUGAUGACACCAUUUGACAUAUCGUGUGGAUUAAAAUCGGCAGUGAACUCGAUUUUUUACGUCAAAUUAAAAGUUGCUCUUUCCUAGGUGAAAUUAUGAUUUACAUGUGAGUUAGCCAUUUUUUAGCGAAGUUAAAGGCGGUUUUAUGUGAAAAUAUUCUAAUAUAGGACAAUCUAUAUAUAUGUGAAGGCCCGUCCACUUUAAACCUCUAUUUCAAUAAAUAAAUUAUGUAAAUAAUUGAAAAAUACUUAAUACAAUAUCUAUAGAUGGCGAAGAAAAAGGCAUGAAACGACCAAUUGGUUUCUCGGCCUUGGUUACUAUCGCUUUUUUCCAAUACCUAAGACAUUAUGUGGUAUUUACGAAACCUAAAACAUUUCCUAUAUGGGCUGCUGAGAUGAACGAAGAGUCUAGUAAAUAGAUAAUCUAAGAGUUCCAAUGUUCAAAAAAUCCUGGUUGAAUUUUUCUGCCUUUGAAGAAGAAUAUCACAUUUGUAUCAAUGACAAGGACCCCUGGAUAUAGAAAGACACAACAGUGCAGAUAUUUUCAAAUAAUUGAAUUUCAACUAUCCUUCAAUUUAUAAUAAAUGAUAUCACAGCCCGAACAACCAAAAUUGGCGGUUCUUAUAUCUUUAUAAAUAUUGAUAGGUAUAACAU
Long non-coding RNA from Pieris rapae (cabbage white), 889 nucleotides. RefSeq lists it as uncharacterized. Lineage: Eukaryota; Metazoa; Arthropoda; Insecta; Lepidoptera; Pieridae. The transcript is spliced from 3 exons. The record is from RefSeq and is a predicted model, not a curated record.